Molecule: ribosomal RNA, 450 nt
Filed under: uncultured bacterium
Lineage: Bacteria
Description: partial 16S ribosomal RNA
Rfam family: Bacterial small subunit ribosomal RNA
Source: RNAcentral
CCUACGGGUGGCUGCAGUGGGGAAUUUUGGACAAUGGGGGCAACCCUGAUCCAGCCAUGCCGCGUGCGGGAAGAAGGCCUUCGGGUUGUAAACCGCUUUUGUCAGGGAAGAAAUCUUCCGAGCUAAUACCUUGGGAGGAUGACGGUACCUGCAGAAUAAGCACCGGCUAACUACGUGCCAGCAGCCGCGGUAAUACGUAGGGUGCAAACGUUAAUCGGAGCGACUGGAGGUAGUUGUGGAGCACACGUGUGAAAUCCCCGGGCUUAACCUGGGAACUGCACUUGUGACUGUACGGCUGGAGUACGGCAGAGGGGGAUGGAAUUCCGCGUGUAGCAGUGAAAUGCGUAGAUAUGCGGAGGAACACCGAUGGCGAAGGCAGUCCCCUGGGCCUGUACUGACGCUCAUGCACGAAAGCGUGGGGAGCAAACAGGAUUAGAUACCCUGGUAGUC